AAGAAACAGAAAGAUCAUGAUAGCUGGAAGAACAUUGACAGGGGCACGAGAGACAGAAAGAAGGAAAGGGAAUUCGACAUAGAAGCCGAGAGACCUGAUAAACGCAGUAGGUAUCAUGAAAAAGAAUCAGAGGAAGGGGGUAUUGAUGAUGAAGGGAGUACAGAAAGGGAAAUAGAGGCUUUUAACAGUGGUAUCCAGCAGCGAAAGAGGAUGCUUCGGCCGAGGGGCAGCCCUCAAAUGGGAAAUCGUGAACCUCGUUUUAGGUCCCGCAGCCAAGAUAUUGAAGGGUAUGACUUUCCAUUUGUUGAAUGAAGAAUUAGUUUUUAAGGGGUUUAGUUAUUAUGAUUAGAUCGUUUCAUGAUUUCUUCAUGCGCUUUUAUAUUUAUUUGGGUUUAUGCAUUUACUAUCUUGCCAAUUAGGCCCAUAUUGUUUCCAUUUUUUCGUAUCUAAGUAGCUGUUAGUGAUAUGUAAGUGUACUUUAAAUUUGAAGUUUUGCUUUGUCCAAAAUAAGUUAUGCUCGGUUAUAGCAAAAGUAUGUUGAAACUCUUUCAGAUUUUAUUGGUUUAAGCAUAAUCUUGGAGUCAUUUUUUGUUUUUUGUGUUUCAUGAUUGUGAAACCAUGAUCAUGUGCACUUCUUUUCAUAUUUUUGACAUGUCCAUUUCAUUGCAAAAUGCGAAGGGGGAACAUAGCAUAUAAGAUGUACAUAAAACAGAUGAUAUCUAUCAACCUAUGAUUUUAAUAUAAAUUUUCCGUAUGCUGUUCAAAGUUAAAAAUUAGGAACUUUUAUCUCGUAUCCAAUUUCUUUCCAAAAAUCUCAAAAAAUUGUGAAUGGUCGCUUAGCUCAAUUCUGUACUUCAUAUUUCUUUGAUCUUUGACUGGUGAUGUUUGAGUCUUAUGAUAGGGAUUCCAAGAAUUCAUGUGUCAAAUGUACUAUAUUUCAUUGGUACACUGGUAAAGAUGUCAUCAAGCAGUAAAUAGGGCAUGAAUUGCUGUUUUGUUUAUACACCAUAACCUUCCAUAAAAAUCUAAGAUCUCAUGCACAUGGGAGUUUAUCUCCAUUAGAAUUCCUAUUUUGAUGUCAGAAUAUGGUAACUUGACAAGUUUCUCUAGUGUCUAUGAGGAAGUUUUGGACCGUUGGCCCGAAUGACUGCAGUAUCUAUCCCUUUACAUUUUUUAUACUAUAUGCAGUUAAAACAUUAUAAAAUGUAUUUGUUACUUUUUGUUAUGCACAUUACAAGAUACACUUUUGAAACCAGUGCUGCUUCUAAUUCAUUGCCUCUGUUUCACAUGGUUUUACCAUAGGAAAAGUGACUUUUACUUUUUUUCUUUUUCUUUUUCUUUUUUUUUUUUUUGGUGGGAUUCAAACUUGAGACCUUUUGCCUUAGCCUUAGUCCUUUUACCAUUGAACAAAGACCUCAGAUACUCAUUUUUGAGGCGCCCAAAGACAAUGUCUUUUGGAAAUUAAACUACACCAUACUAAAUGCAAUCGUUAAAUAUUUAGAGAUAUAAGCUAAGGAGUUGAGAUGAUAUGAACUUACCUUAAUUUUUGAAGUAAAACUUGCGCUAACUCAGUAUUUCCUUAUUCAGAUACUACACAUAGUACUUCACAUAAGCAUAGAUUUGAUUCCUAGAGUUGAGGUGUUUCAAUGUUUCAUGCUAUGAAAUUGGAUGUAGUCAUAAUGUUUUCUCUCUAGGAGUUUCGCUUGAACUUUCUUGGCACUCUCAAAAGCUUGAAGAAAGUGUAGAAGUGGAAAAUAAUAGAACGAAAAUCAUUAUAAAAGCACUAAAAUUAUGAUGUCCAUUACUGUUUGCCAUCAAUAUAGUAACGGGCACAUUAUGAUUUGGUAACAAAAUUAAAUGUCUCGGGAAAAAGUUGCAGUUUGCAUUAAAUGAGUAGGGUCCUUUUAUUUCCCUCAUUGAAUAAGGACGCGUAUCAUUAUCUCAGAAAGAGGCUCCUUAAGACAGCUGCUUGCAGAUUGAGAGUUCUAGUCUGAAUCGCUCAAAAGGGCUUAGGGUCUUUUGCAUAUUGCGACUGCAACUCCCUGUUUCUCUGAGCAACAUUAUGCACGAGCAAGUUUAUAUUCUCCGUCCCCAUGGAAUGUUUAAAUAGUUGUGAUUUUUGGUGUGUAGUACUCAUGCUCUUCAUGAUUCUUCAUUUUGCUCUUUAAAAUGUCAGAAAAUUGGAGCUGCUCUCCGACCCGACCAUUCAAUUCUAUUGAAUGGAGUCAGGGUCGUUCCUUAAGGCAGCCAAAGCGAGCCCCUUUAUUUUGAAUUCGUUAAUUCAGAAUAUCUAUGUAUCGUAAGUGACCAUAGAAACUUCUAGGGACUCCCAGUCUAUGGAAGAUUGGGGGUUAGAACAAAAGUUAAAGGAACAGAAGAGCCAUACCCUCUUUCUUUCGAUUACUUUCAGGGUACUCACAUAGCCAAUUUUCCAUUUUUGAUAGAAGGUGCUGCCUUUGGUACUACUCUUAUCUGAUGUACAAUAGAAACAUUUGAGUCUUCAAUUUGGACUUUUUUGCCAUUUUUUUCAUCUGUGAAUUGUUAAUAAGGAGGGGUGGGGGAGAAGGGUUGCAUUAGUAAGUCUGUUUAUAAAUUACAGUGAUCUGCCUUCAAACGUUGUAGUUUCUCAUACUUAUCAACUAAUUCUUAGAUUAGUUAAAUGACUUUUACUUUUGCUUCUUGAGUUCAAGCAUAUCUAGGAGUUGCUAAUCCGAAUGAAGAAAAUGUUCAAUGUGAAAGUAGCUUUGUUUUUCCUUUUUUCCCCCCUACUAUUUUUACUUUUCUUGUUUUCAUCGAAGUAUAGAUAUCACAGUUUAUAAAAAUGAAAGGGAAUGAUAAUUGGCGAUUGGUAAUAUGUGAUUUAUCUUAUUAGUAUGUGCGAAUAAUUUUGAGUUUUCCCUUUUCCCGGAUAGUAGUGUCAUUUAACCAUUCACUGGAGAAAGAAUGGUUAUUACAUUUAUGUGCCACAUGUCCAUCCCGAAUGGCAAAACAUGGACAAGUCCUUGUGUACUUUUUGCCACUUCACGUUCUCUUAAGUUGUAGCUUUCCUUUCUUUCUUCUUACAUAAGAUUCAUUUAUUGUUGUUAUAAUCUGGAUAAAUCUGCAUAUCUUUUGAAUUACGCCAUGAUAUUUUAUUAACUAAUAAGAGCAUUUAAUAUAUUCUGAUUCUUGAGUAGUCCAUAUUAAUUGCUAUAUUAUGUUAUUUUGAUGCUGGGAAAAAUAAUGGCCUGCUACAUUUUUGGAUAUUGUUCUUCAUCACUUCAGUGCAAAGUUGGGUAAUAUGAUUUAUUAGGAGAACUUUCCUUGAUUGGGGUUGAAAUGAUGGGCUUAACCAUUUUAUGUUUCAAUUUUAUGCAGGUCACAAGGUAAGCUGUCAAUUCAUGUCCAGCCGGAACUCUUAUUUGGUUAUUAUUAGACAGGAAGUUCUUUCUCUUCACUUGUUUGGUAUUAGCUGAAUUUACAAUUACUGAACAUUAUUAUUAAAUUAUACACAAUAUUCAUUGGCUGUGACGUAAAUCUUAUGUUUGUGAUACUGUAUGAAUCAUUGUUCUUUAUCAAGGACGUGAUAUUUGACGAAGUCUUCAUUUUCACAAUAUUAUUUUGAAAUUAGAAUAGGAACUUUCUCAAAUGAGAUAAUUGUAAUCUGGAAGAAUGCUGGAUCCAGAGGUUCUGUAUGAAAAUGUUUGUUAAGAUGUAGCUCUCUAAUGCAUAUAAUUCACCUGCCUUUUAAUUUUGUGCAACUAACUAUAUGGUUCCUGUUAAUGUUAUUGGCCUUGCAAAAUGCUUAUUGCUGCCUUCUGAAUUUGUUGUGUGGAACAUCCUUUUCAGUUUGCUUUGCCCUUGGGACUUGUAAUUGAUAUUUCAUUCUACAUGGACAAAUAGUCUUACAAAGUGCUGCUUGUUGCCUUCUAUCAGCUGUCUGGAAUAUGAUUUUUCAGUUUGCUUUGCUCUUGGGACGUGUAAUUGUUAUUUCAUUCUACAUUUUCAACUGGUCUUGCAAAAUGCUGCUUGUUGUCUUCCGGUUCAUGCCUUUUCAGCUUGCUUUGCCCUAGGGUUAUGUAUUUGUGUUAUUUCAUUGUACGUUAUUUCAUUUAUUUGUGUUAUUUCAUUGUACGUUUACUUUUUUCUUCGGACUUUAUAUUUAUUAGUUUUAAUUGACUUGAUUAUAUGUUUUGACUUUGUGAAUGAUUACUUCUUGUGGGGAUAGAAGUCUUUUCACUCACAUGGUUCGUUUCCAAUCUAACCACUACUUUAUAUGGAAUUUCUCCGUGCCUAAUGUCCACAUUUCAACAUUGCUGCCUCUUCUUGACAAGAACUUUGAUUUCAUGUGCUGCUGUUUAAGCUGUGUAAAAGCUCUUCAUGGAUGCUGUGUCCCUUCUUUUAGUUGCAUUUGUUUUUUUCUUUGGACUUGUGUCUAGAUUAAAUCAUUCAUGUUAUCACAAUCUUAAUUUCUGUGCCAAAAAGUAUAUAAGAAAGUUUAUUAUACUAUGAUGAGUACACUUUUGGGUAAAAAUUUUAGUUUGGUUGGUUUAAACCCAUCAUGUGAAAAUAUAUGAUGUCCUACUUUUGUCAGCAAAAGUUGUUUGCAGGUUAUAAAACAUUUUAAACUGCUAUUUUCUAAUUCCUUAUUUUUUAGAUUCAGCAUGAUGUUAGCAUUCAUGUAAUAUGAAAUUUGAAUAUCAACAAUUGCUAGUACUUUGUUGUAACUUAUGUCGACAAAAGAAAAGUUGAAAUUAACUGUUAAUACCGUGUUCAAAAAAUUCACUGAAGCUGCUGACUCCAUAUGUUUUUAGUUUCACAAGUAUUUAAGAAGCUGUCUAAGCAAACCUGUUAGCUUAUUUUGUACCCUUUUCUGUUAAAUGCUCCUUUUGCCUUGUUAUCUCUUGGGGGACUUCUUGAAUUGAUUGCUUGUCUGUCUAGCGGAAUGGACCUGAAAAGUUGAUAGCUCCAGUUAUUGUGUCUUUUCCUAUAGAAUCAAACUAACCUACUUAUUCCAAAGUUAUUGAAUUUCCAGGUUUUGAUUUAGCAUAGAAGGGUAAAAUUUUAAUGAGGGGAGUUUGCGUUGUGUAAUAUAGUUUCUGACAUCCCACCCUUUGGACAAGAAAGAGCAAAUGUCCAAUGGGAUUAAAUUUGGUGGCAUAUCGAGUCCCAAAUGUUUAUGAAGUUAUAAUUUAUUUGAUGACUAUUUAUCAAUUUCUAGUUGACAUUUUUGGGACGUAUGGUCUCAAGUAAGCAUCAGCAUUUACUUUAUAUGGCUGUGAUAAGAAUCUUAAUAGCUUUCCACUCUGGAAUAUGUGCUUUAAGGCCAUAUAUAAAUCUCAUCAUAUUGAUUGCCAUAAUUCUGAGAACGUAUAUUUAAAUAUUUGAUUUUCUUCAAGAAAAUAAUUAGAAAAACACGCAUAUAUCCUAAAACUGGUCUUUUAAGCUAAAUCAAAAAUCAUUCUCAUGAUAUAGAUAGAGCUACUGGUUUUCACAAAUGAUUUAGUUACUAAUUGGGAAAUCUUCAUCAUAAUAACGUUUUUGAUGAAGCUGUGAUGUUACUAUACAGGUAAGGCUGAUAUGUCUUGUGUCGUUUACAAAAUUGGUGGAUGCAUGCAAGAACUGUUGAAGUUGUGGAAGGAAUUUCAAUCCUCACAAGCUGAUGGAACAUGUGAAAUCUCUCAAAAUGCUCCUACCCUAGAAAUCCGGAUACCAG
Molecule: long non-coding RNA, 5695 nt
Filed under: Olea europaea (common olive)
Lineage: Eukaryota; Viridiplantae; Streptophyta; Magnoliopsida; Lamiales; Oleaceae
Description: long non-coding RNA (OEUR_LNC000644)
Source: RNAcentral